RNAcentral lists this long non-coding RNA (463 nucleotides) under Monodelphis domestica (gray short-tailed opossum). Its description in RNAcentral is "lncRNA (ENSMODG00000042592.1)". The record is from RNAcentral. Lineage: Eukaryota; Metazoa; Chordata; Mammalia; Didelphimorphia; Didelphidae.
GAAUAUAGGUAAGGGAUAGAGUAGAUUUUUAUGGAUUAGCAAUAAGAAGAAAAGAGGAGAAUUUGGAUACAAGCCCUGGAAGAAGAUUCUGAGAAAGAAAGAAGGAUUGUGAAGUUUUACUGGCUUUAAAGGUCAUUCACUCUCUGCCCUGAUUUCCACCAAGCUGGAAGGAGUUUUUUGCUCUGACAGAUUAUCCCUUGGUAGUCCUAAAUCUCAUGGAGAGUUUAGUGACUCAUUGGUGAAGAGAGCCAAAAAAGAAUUCCACAUGGGGAUUAUAUCACUGUGCCAAGAAAAAGAAAAUUCUACUCCUAUGGUUCCAGAAUGACUGUCUUGCCAAUCACAUUACUGUAAAAUAUCUGGAGAAUAAGUCAACCAUCCAAAGAUCCUUUCUACCAACUACCAACUCUGUGUUGACUCCCAUCCCAGAGCUCUAAUAAAAGAAGGUAGAAAACUAGUAUAUCCA